Molecule: ribosomal RNA, 2978 nt
Filed under: Escherichia coli
Lineage: Bacteria; Pseudomonadati; Pseudomonadota; Gammaproteobacteria; Enterobacterales; Enterobacteriaceae
Description: 23S ribosomal RNA
Rfam family: Bacterial large subunit ribosomal RNA
Source: RNAcentral
GGUUAAGCGACUAAGCGUACACGGUGGAUGCCCUGGCAGUCAGAGGCGAUGAAGGACGUGCUAAUCUGCGAUAAGCGUCGGUAAGGUGAUAUGAACCGUUAUAACCGGCGAUUUCCGAAUGGGGAAACCCAGUGUGUUUCGACACACUAUCAUUAACUGAAUCCAUAGGUUAAUGAGGCGAACCGGGGAACUGAAACAUCUAAGUACCCCGAGGAAAAGAAAUCAACCGAGAUUCCCCAGUAGCGGCGAGCGAACGGGGAGCAGCCCAGAGCCUGAAUCAGUGUGUGUGUUAGUGGAAGCGUCUGGAAAGGCGCGCGAUACAGGGUGACAGCCCCGUACACAAAAAUGCACAUGCUGUGAGCUCGAUGAGUAGGGCGGGACACGUGGUAUCCUGUCUGAAUAUGGGGGACCAUCCUCCAAGGCUAAAUACUCCUGACUGACCGAUAGUGAACCAGUACCGUGAGGGAAAGGCGAAAAGAACCCCGGCGAGGGAGUGAAAAAGAACCUGAAACCGUGUACGUACAAGCAGUGGGAGCACAGAGCAAUCUGUGUGACUGCGUACCUUUUGUAUAAUGGGUCAGCGACUUAUAUUCUGUAGCAAGGUUAACCGAAUAGGGGAGCCGAAGGGAAACCGAGUCUUAACUGGGCGUUAAGUUGCAGGGUAUAGACCCGAAACCCGGUGAUCUAGCCAUGGGCAGGUUGAAGGUUGGGUAACACUAACUGGAGGACCGAACCGACUAAUGUUGAAAAAUUAGCGGAUGACUUGUGGCUGGGGGUGAAAGGCCAAUCAAACCGGGAGAUAGCUGGUUCUCCCCGAAAGCUAUUUAGGUAGCGCCUCGUGAAUUCAUCUCCGGGGGUAGAGCACUGUUUCGGCAAGGGGGUCAUCCCGACUUACCAACCCGAUGCAAACUGCGAAUACCGGAGAAUGUUAUCACGGGAGACACACGGCGGGUGCUAACGUCCGUCGUGAAGAGGGAAACAACCCAGACCGCCAGCUAAGGUCCCAAAGUCAUGGUUAAGUGGGAAACGAUGUGGGAAGGCCCAGACAGCCAGGAUGUUGGCUUAGAAGCAGCCAUCAUUUAAAGAAAGCGUAAUAGCUCACUGGUCGAGUCGGCCUGCGCGGAAGAUGUAACGGGGCUAAACCAUGCACCGAAGCUGCGGCAGCGACGCUUAUGCGUUGUUGGGUAGGGGAGCGUUCUGUAAGCCUGCGAAGGUGUGCUGUGAGGCAUGCUGGAGGUAUCAGAAGUGCGAAUGCUGACAUAAGUAACGAUAAAGCGGGUGAAAAGCCCGCUCGCCGGAAGACCAAGGGUUCCUGUCCAACGUUAAUCGGGGCAGGGUGAGUCGACCCCUAAGGCGAGGCCGAAAGGCGUAGUCGAUGGGAAACAGGUUAAUAUUCCUGUACUUGGUGUUACUGCGAAGGGGGGACGGAGAAGGCUAUGUUGGCCGGGCGACGGUUGUCCCGGUUUAAGCGUGUAGGCUGGUUUUCCAGGCAAAUCCGGAAAAUCAAGGCUGAGGCGUGAUGACGAGGCACUACGGUGCUGAAGCAACAAAUGCCCUGCUUCCAGGAAAAGCCUCUAAGCAUCAGGUAACAUCAAAUCGUACCCCAAACCGACACAGGUGGUCAGGUAGAGAAUACCAAGGCGCUUGAGAGAACUCGGGUGAAGGAACUAGGCAAAAUGGUGCCGUAACUUCGGGAGAAGGCACGCUGAUAUGUAGGUGAAGUCCCUCGCGGAUGGAGCUGAAAUCAGUCGAAGAUACCAGCUGGCUGCAACUGUUUAUUAAAAACACAGCACUGUGCAAACACGAAAGUGGACGUAUACGGUGUGACGCCUGCCCGGUGCCGGAAGGUUAAUUGAUGGGGUUAGCGCAAGCGAAGCUCUUGAUCGAAGCCCCGGUAAACGGCGGCCGUAACUAUAACGGUCCUAAGGUAGCGAAAUUCCUUGUCGGGUAAGUUCCGACCUGCACGAAUGGCGUAAUGAUGGCCAGGCUGUCUCCACCCGAGACUCAGUGAAAUUGAACUCGCUGUGAAGAUGCAGUGUACCCGCGGCAAGACGGAAAGACCCCGUGAACCUUUACUAUAGCUUGACACUGAACAUUGAGCCUUGAUGUGUAGGAUAGGUGGGAGGCUUUGAAGUGUGGACGCCAGUCUGCAUGGAGCCGACCUUGAAAUACCACCCUUUAAUGUUUGAUGUUCUAACGUUGACCCGUAAUCCGGGUUGCGGACAGUGUCUGGUGGGUAGUUUGACUGGGGCGGUCUCCUCCUAAAGAGUAACGGAGGAGCACGAAGGUUGGCUAAUCCUGGUCGGACAUCAGGAGGUUAGUGCAAUGGCAUAAGCCAGCUUGACUGCGAGCGUGACGGCGCGAGCAGGUGCGAAAGCAGGUCAUAGUGAUCCGGUGGUUCUGAAUGGAAGGGCCAUCGCUCAACGGAUAAAAGGUACUCCGGGGAUAACAGGCUGAUACCGCCCAAGAGUUCAUAUCGACGGCGGUGUUUGGCACCUCGAUGUCGGCUCAUCACAUCCUGGGGCUGAAGUAGGUCCCAAGGGUAUGGCUGUUCGCCAUUUAAAGUGGUACGCGAGCUGGGUUUAGAACGUCGUGAGACAGUUCGGUCCCUAUCUGCCGUGGGCGCUGGAGAACAUUUAAAGUGGUACGCGAGCUGGGUUUAGAACGUCGUGAGACAGUUCGGUCCCUAUCUGCCGUGGGCGCUGGAGAAUGAGGGGGGCUGCUCCUAGUACGAGAGGACCGGAGUGGACGCAUCACUGGUGUUCGGGUUGUCAUGCCAAUGGCACUGCCCGGUAGCUAAAUGCGGAAGAGAUAAGUGCUGAAAGCAUCUAAGCACGAAACUUGCCCCGAGAUGAGUUCUCCCUGACUCCUUGAGAGUCCUGAAGGAACGUUGAAGACGACGACGUUGAUAGGCCGGGUGUGUAAGCGCAGCGAUGCGUUGAGCUAACCGGUACUAAUGAACCGUGAGGCUUAACCUU